Molecule: long non-coding RNA, 1623 nt
Organism: Oryctolagus cuniculus (rabbit)
Lineage: Eukaryota; Metazoa; Chordata; Mammalia; Lagomorpha; Leporidae
Source: Ensembl
AUGUCAGAAAGGCUACCUAAAAUUUUUGGGAUUCAUCUGCAGGCUACUCCUUUGGCUAUUCCUCCAAAUCAGCCUCACCCCUCCGAUCCUCCACACCAGCCUCACCCUCCUCCCGGCCCUCCAUGUCAGCCCCACCAUCCUGGUCGGUCAUGCCAGCUCCACCCUCUUUCUGUCCCUUCACACCACCCUCAAACUCCUGGUCCUACAUCCCAGCUUCCCCCUCCUUGUCCUCCUGCUGGGCCUCCCAGUGCUUCUGGUCCUUCACCCCAUCCUCACCCUGCUUCCGGUCCUUCGCUCCAGCUUGCCAAACCUUCAGAUUCUCUACCCCGGCUUCCCUUCCCUUGUCAUUCACUCUAUCUUAACCCUCCUGUUCUUCCACACGAGCCUCACCCUCCUUCUGGUCCCCCACCCUGGCCUCGCCGUCCUGGCCUCCCACACCGGCAUCACCGUCCUCUUCCUCUAAGCCAGUCCCCCGCUUCUCAUUCUCCAUCCAGCCCUCACCUUUCUCUUCCACCCAGCCCUCACCCUCCUUCUCAUUCUCCACAUCAGAUUCACCUUCCUUCUCGUCCUCCACCCCUGGCUCACCUUCCUCCUUGUCCCACAUCCCAGCUUCACUCUCCUCAUCCUCCACCCCUCCCCCACACUCCUUCUUGUCCUCCACUUGAGCCUCUCCCUCCUCAGCCUCGACCCCAGCCACACUCUCUCUCUCCUCCUCCACCCCAUCCUCAUCCCCCUCGUCACUUUUCUCCUCCUCCAACCCAGCCUCAAGCCCCUUCUCAUCCUAAAGCGCAGCUUCACUCUGCUCAUCGUCCAGCCCAGCCUCACCCUGCUCCUCCUCCUACAACCCGGCUUCACCCUGCUCAUCUUGCAGCCCAGCUUCAGCCGGAUGUUCUAAGCCACGCUCAUCCUCCUCACUCUUCAACUCGGCCUCACCCUCCUGCUGACCCUCAGCCCCAGACUCACCCUCCUGUCCCUCUAAUCCGGGCUUAUCCUCCUCUUCCUGCAUUCCCUCCACACCCUCCUGCUCAUCUCACCUACCGACCUCACCAUUCUUGUAUUCCUAAACCCCGGCCCCAACCCUGUGCUCGGCUUCCACACAAGCCUCUUUCUCCCUUUCUUUCACCUUGGCCUCAUGCUCCUGACUCUUCAUACCCACUUCAGGCUUGUUUUCCUUCACUACAUCAGUCUUCCACUCCUUGUCACCCUUCACGCCAUCUUCAAACUCCUGCUGUCAGUGCAUCCUGGCAUCCCUCUCCCGCAAAUUUCCCUCUCUCUCCUGGCCCUCCAUGCCAGCCUCACCCUCCCUUGAAUCCUCCAUCCAAGUCUCUCCCUCCUUCUGGUAUAUUUCAUGAUUAUUCUCCAGUCCUCCUAUCUGAUGAGUCUUCUGAGAAUUCCAGCAUAGAGGAGAUCACACCCACAUGCAGUGAAUGUCUCUCAGAUUUCUGCUCCACAUUUCACCCCAUUCUUGAUAGUAACUCCCCCAAUGACUUGGCCUCAUUUCAAUUCAUGAUCAGCUCUUCUGUUCCUACCAAAUCCCCCCUUUUCCUCCCUGUGAAUUUGCCUCCCGUUUCCAGUUCCCCCUCUGACUUCUCCCUGAGUCCUCCUGACAGCCCUACUUAUUAG